This 253-nucleotide ribosomal RNA is filed under the name uncultured bacterium. RNAcentral describes it as "partial 16S ribosomal RNA". It matches the Rfam family "Bacterial small subunit ribosomal RNA", at positions 524 to 776 of the family's 1533-position model. RNAcentral also lists the same sequence under 1 other name. The record is from RNAcentral.
UACGGAGGAUGCAAGCGUUGUCCGGAUUCAUUGGGUUUAAAGGGUGCGUAGGCGGAGAAUUAAGUCAGUGGUGAAAGCUCGCAGCUUAACUGUGAAAAUGCCAUUGAAACUGAUUUUCUUGAGUUCGAUUGAGGUAGAUGGAAUGUAUCAUGUAGCGGUGAAAUGCUUAGAUAUGAUACAGAACACCAAUUGCGAAGGCAGUCUACUAAGUCGAUACUGACGCUGAGGCACGAAAGCAUGGGGAGCAAACAGG